Molecule: long non-coding RNA, 531 nt
Organism: Momordica charantia (bitter melon)
Lineage: Eukaryota; Viridiplantae; Streptophyta; Magnoliopsida; Cucurbitales; Cucurbitaceae
Source: RefSeq, a predicted model, not a curated record
UUCGAACUCUCUCCCCGUCCUCUCUUUCGAAGCGCCAACGUCGUCACCCAACCCGGCCACUCUCGGAGUUCUCCAUUGCCGCCAUUGACAAGAAGCUUCUGCGUUUUCUCAUUCCAUAUAGCUAAACAAAAAGUACCUGGUUUGGCAAGUGAUUUGGUGAAGAAGGGAAGGCACAUUCAUAUUGAUGAGAAAUCCACUUGAUAUUUUGAUUAAUGAACUUGUCUCAGCCAUCCUACGACAAGGUGAUUCCUGCAACCUUUUAUGAAUUGGGCUUUUCUGAAUUGGGUAUCUGUUUACAACGAGCUGAAAGAGUUGGGAAGACCCCCACCUAUCACUGACGCUGCUGAACUUCAAAAGGAUCUUGAGGUGUUACUGCUUUCUAAAUUACCACUUAUAUUGUGGGAAUGGUAUUUACCAUUUGCAUGAACAAAAACGAUGUUGUGAAUGACAAAUACAUUCAUUCUGGGUUUUAAAUCCUUGUGGAGUGUAAAAGUUUUGUUUCCUUAAAAUGUCAUUACCUUCUUAGAGGGA